Molecule: ribosomal RNA, 351 nt
Filed under: Cerylon canstaneum
Lineage: Eukaryota; Metazoa; Arthropoda; Insecta; Coleoptera; Cerylonidae
Description: partial 12S ribosomal RNA
Source: RNAcentral
UAAAAUUGUAAUUAAAGAAAAUUAAAUUAGUAUUAGUUAUGGUCUUGAAAAUUAAAAAUUUUGGCGGUAUUUUAAUCUUUUCAGAGGAAUCUGUUCUAUAAUUGAUAAUCCACGAUUAAUUAAACUUUUUUUUUAAAUUUGUAUAUCGUUGUAGAUUGAAUAUUUUAAAAGAAUUUAAAUUUUCAAAAUUUAUUAUAAUAAAAAAAUUCAGAUCAUGAUGCAGUUUAUGGAGAAGGAGAAAUGGAUUACAGAAAAAUUAUUUUUGGAUUAAUAAUUGAAAAUUAUUAUGAAAUUGGAUUUGAAAGUAAUUUAAAUAUAUUUAUAUUAAAUGAUUUUAGUUCUAAAAUAUGU